ACUAUUUUGGCAGAUUAGUGCAAUAAAUUUAGAAUUUAUAAAUAUAAUUUUAAUUAUUAUAAAUAGUA
Molecule: transfer RNA, 68 nt
Filed under: Bironella derooki
Lineage: Eukaryota; Metazoa; Arthropoda; Insecta; Diptera; Culicidae
Description: tRNA-Leu
Rfam family: tRNA
About the family: Transfer RNA (tRNA) molecules are approximately 80 nucleotides in length. Their secondary structure includes four short double-helical elements and three loops (D, anti-codon, and T loops).
Source: RNAcentral